RNAcentral lists this ribosomal RNA (530 nucleotides) under uncultured bacterium. RNAcentral's name for it is "partial 16S ribosomal RNA". It matches the Rfam family "Bacterial small subunit ribosomal RNA", at positions 355 to 895 of the family's 1533-position model. The record is from RNAcentral.
UGGGGAAUAUUGCACAAUGGGCGCAAGCCUGAUGCAGCGACGCCGCGUGAGGGAUGACGGCCUUCGGGUUGUAAACCUCUUUCAGCAGGGACGAAGCGCAAGUGACGGUACCUGCAGAAGAAGCACCGGCCAACUACGUGCCAGCAGCCGCGGUAAUACGUAGGGUGCGAGCGUUGUCCGGAAUUACUGGGCGUAAAGAGCUCGUAGGCGGUUUGUCGCGUCGUCUGUGAAAUUCUGCAGCUUAACUGCAGGCGUGCAGGCGAUACGGGCAGACUUGAGUACUACAGGGGAGACUGGAAUUCCUGGUGUAGCGGUGAAAUGCGCAGAUAUCAGGAGGAACACCGGUGGCGAAGGCGGGUCUCUGGGUAGUAACUGACGCUGAGGAGCGAAAGCGUGGGUAGCGAACAGGAUUAGAUACCCUGGUAGUCCACGCCGUAAACGGUGGGUACUAGGUGUGGGUUCCAUUUCACGGGAUCCGUGCCGUAGCUAACGCAUUAAGUACCCCGCCUGGGGAGUACGGCCGCAAGGCU